UACGUAGGGUGCGAGCGUUGUCCGGAAUUACUGGGCGUAAAGAGCUCGUAGGUGGUUUGUCGCGUUGUCCGUGAAAACUCACAGCUCAACUGUGGGCGUGCGGGCGAUACGGGCAGACUGGAGUACUGCAGGGGAGACUGGAAUUCCUGGUGUAGCGGUGGAAUGCGCAGAUAUCAGGAGGAACACCAGUGGCGAAGGCGGCUCACUGGACCGGUAUUGACGCUGAGGUGCGAAAGCGUGGGGAGCAAACAGG
This 253-nucleotide ribosomal RNA is filed under the name uncultured bacterium. Its description in RNAcentral is "partial 16S ribosomal RNA". It matches the Rfam family "Bacterial small subunit ribosomal RNA", at positions 524 to 776 of the family's 1533-position model. The record is from RNAcentral.